This 492-nucleotide ribosomal RNA is filed under the name uncultured bacterium. RNAcentral describes it as "partial 16S ribosomal RNA". It matches the Rfam family "Bacterial small subunit ribosomal RNA", at positions 29 to 507 of the family's 1533-position model. The record is from RNAcentral.
AGUGAACGCUGGCGGUAGGCCUAACACAUGCAAGUCGAACGGCAGCACAGUAAGAGCUUGCUCUUACGGGUGGCGAGUGGCGGACGGGUGAGGAAUACAUCGGAAUCUACUUUUUCGUGGGGGAUAACGUAGGGAAACUUACGCUAAUACCGCAUACGACCUACGGGUGAAAGCAUGGGAUCUUCGGACCUUGCGCGAUUGAAUGAGCCGAUGUCGGAUUAGCUAGUUGGCGGGGUAAAGGCCCACCAAGGCGACGAUCCGUAGCUGGUCUGAGAGGAUGAUCAGCCACACUGGAACUGAGACACGGUCCAGACUCCUACGGGAGGCAGCAGUGGGGAAUAUUGGACAAUGGGCGCAAGCCUGAUCCAGCCAUACCGCGUGUGUGAAGAAGGUCUUCGGGUUGUAAAGCCCUUUUGUUGGGAAAGAAAAGCAGCAGGUUAAUACCCCGCUGUUCUGACGGUACCCAAAGAAUAAGCACCGGCUAACUUCGUG